This 73-nucleotide transfer RNA is filed under the name Saccharicrinis fermentans. It matches the Rfam family "tRNA". From Rfam's summary of the family: Transfer RNA (tRNA) molecules are approximately 80 nucleotides in length. The record is from RNAcentral. Lineage: Bacteria; Pseudomonadati; Bacteroidota; Bacteroidia; Marinilabiliales; Marinilabiliaceae. RNAcentral also lists the same sequence under 3 other names.
GGUGCCAUAGCUCAGUAGGUAGAGCAAUGGACUGAAAAUCCAUGUGUCCCUGGUUCGAUCCCAGGUGGCACCA